GGCGUCGUGGCCGAGUGGCUAGGCAGCGGUCUGCAAAACCGUCUACAGCGGUUCGAAUCCGCUCGUCGCCUCCA
This 74-nucleotide transfer RNA is filed under the name Flavobacteriaceae bacterium. RNAcentral describes it as "tRNA-Cys". It matches the Rfam family "tRNA". Rfam says of the family: Transfer RNA (tRNA) molecules are approximately 80 nucleotides in length. The record is from RNAcentral. Lineage: Bacteria; Pseudomonadati; Bacteroidota; Flavobacteriia; Flavobacteriales; Flavobacteriaceae.